GGCUGGUCCAAUGGUAGUGGGUUAUCAGAACUUAUUAACAUUAGUGUCACUAAAGUUGGUAUUCAACCCCCCACUGCUAAAUUUGACUGGAAAA
This 94-nucleotide Y RNA is filed under the name Propithecus coquereli (Coquerel's sifaka). RNAcentral describes it as "Y RNA (ENSPCOG00000007462.1)". It matches the Rfam family "Y RNA". Rfam says of the family: Y RNAs are components of the Ro ribonucleoprotein particle (Ro RNP), in association with Ro60 and La proteins. The Y RNAs and Ro60 and La proteins are well conserved, but the function of the Ro RNP is not known. The record is from Rfam by way of RNAcentral. Lineage: Eukaryota; Metazoa; Chordata; Mammalia; Primates; Indriidae.